UCCGAGCACCUGUUUUGGGAUAUAUACAGCUAAUUAACCGUAAAUAACUGCGAGAUAAUGAAUAACAAGUUGAUAAUUGUCUAGUAUUCUCUGCUAAUUAAUGUACCUGCAAUUCACCCUGAUUCAUUUGUGAGACCACCGACACUAAUAAUAUUACCUCAAAGUUAGAGGUUCUCCGUUACUGGGAACUUCAUAUCGGAUCCGAUCAAUUUAUUGGUUCCAUUCCCCCUAGUAUUAAUGAUCCAUUUGCAGUGACGAUGACAAUCAUAGUUUAGGGCAAGAAAUAUAGAAGAUAAAGAAAAAUAUAAACAAUUACAACUGUACAGUAGAAAUGAUUGGCAAAACAAGAUUUAUUAACAGAAGACAACAAGGCCUAAAUGGUGAGACUUCUUGGUUUUCAUGAUCAUCAACAGAUCAAUACAGAAGAGGAAACUUAAGGUUAAUGCUUUUCUACAUUGUGUGCUAAUUGGAUUAAUGUGAAAUGAAAUGUGUGCUUACCUGGAAAAAGAAAAUAGGAAAUUUCUACAAAAUGGUUGUAAACAAAAUGGAGUACAAUCAUAGAUGCACAAGAACACAAUUGUGUAAUUGCAACAACCUACAUAUUCACUGAAGGAUUAUGGAGAAAUGUAGAAAAAAUAGUAUUUUGUUGUCGAAAUAAACACCUGCUUUAUCCAUUCAUGUACAUUAUCUCUGUCACAUAAAAUAUACACAGGGGCGUAGCUAGGCCAAUAUGAUGUGUACUCAAUGCCGAAGGAGGAAGUCAAACGGCAGGGGUUUGGGGCAAGUUCUGGGUAAAAGGUGCAAAAUCCUGCACCGGCAUUCUCACAAUUUCCUGGGAAUUAAAAUGACCUCGCCGAAAUCUUAUUUUCAUGAGUAACAAGUCAACUUUUGAAAAAAAAAUUGAAAAAAAAACAAAAUAUUAAUUAGAGAAAAACAAACAAGUACUGUUGGCUUAUGAAUUUGGAUUUUCUAAUGUGUAGUGGGUUGAGCUUAAUUAAAUUAAAUUAAAAGAAUAUUCGUUGCUAGUUAGUUUAGGUUAAAAGGGGUGGUAAAGGGUGGUACUUGCACGGAAAAAACUUUAAAUACAAAGAAGGAAUAACAAUUUCACGGUGAACGUGAAAUAAUUUCGUCCAUGAACGUUGAUAAAAAAGUACUAUAAUGAACGUAUAUCAUAGGUUGGAAACCUCUAACUGGCAAGUAUAUAAUAUAUACGUUUUAAGUCCCGACAUAUGAAUCAAAUCUAUAAGGAAAAUCAUCAAAUUAUUUCAGAUUUCUUUUUAUUAACUCCCUAAACGAUAGUCUUUUAAUUUUACCAAGCAUGGAAUACAAGCACUUUAAAUCUCGAAGCAUGGAAAAUAAGCACUUUUAAUCUCGAAGCACGUAUAAUUAAGUUGGGGAAACACUUUGAACGAGACACCCGUCUUGCACAACCGAACGUAAAAAAUAAAAAAAAAAGUCAAAACACGAUGAUCGUCAAUUUAAAUAAAAAUAAAAAACAAAAAACAAAAAAAAAACGGCAAGCACUAUGCACGAAAUUUACCCUUUAUCAACCCCGUUAAACUUAAGUCAGACUGGACUGUUUAAAAAAAUCUGUUAUGACGACGUAUGUAAUUAAGACUAUACAUACCUCACAUGAAAAUCAUGGGAAUGAACCGUUGUCCAUGGUCUCUUUAGAACGACAUAUUUUAUUUCGUCAGUUAUUUUGAAAUCUUCAGAAAAGAUGUCAGGACUUGGUAAGGAGGCAUAGAAUUGUUUUCUGACACCUCGAGGACCAUUUAUAUUGUUUGCAUCAGCAACAUAAUCAUGAUGCUGGUUCCGUCAAUAAAACGUAAUUUCAGGAACGGAAUAUAGCUACAAAGUGAUUAUUAACAUGUUUGUAAGAUAGUUUUUAAUUUAAUUUAUUACUUUAGUUUUAUUCUUACUAGAUUUACCAUAAUUUUAUUUUUGUAAAAUUUUCGAUGUGUACGCAACUGCAUUUUUGCGUACGGGUUGCUACGCGC
This is a long non-coding RNA of Mytilus californianus (California mussel), 2000 nucleotides long. RefSeq lists it as uncharacterized. The transcript is spliced from 3 exons. The record is from RefSeq and is a predicted model, not a curated record. NCBI's taxonomy places the organism in Eukaryota, Metazoa, Mollusca, Bivalvia, Mytilida, Mytilidae.